Molecule: ribosomal RNA, 751 nt
Filed under: uncultured archaeon
Lineage: Archaea
Description: bacterial SSU rRNA
Rfam family: Archaeal small subunit ribosomal RNA
Source: RNAcentral
GUAACACGUAGUCAACCUGCCUUUUGGAAGAGUUAAUCCCGGGAAACUGGGGCUAAUGCUUUAUAGCUAUAGAUUUCUAGAAGGAUUUUUUGGCAAAAUCAAGGCCCUGCUUGCAGGGUUUUUGGCCAAAGGAUGGGACUGCGUCUGAUUAGGUUGUUGGCGGGGUAACUGCCCACCAAGCCUUUGAUCAGUACGGGCAAUGAGAGUUGGAGCCCGGAGAAGGGCACUGAGAUAAGGGCCCUAGCCCUACGGGGUGCAGCAGGCGCGAAACCUUAGCAAUGCGCGAAAGCGUGACUGGGUAACUUCGAGUGCAAGCUUUGCUUGCUUUUGCCAGGCUUUGAAAUCGCUUGGCGAAUAAGUGGGGGGUAAGAUACGUGCCAGCCGCCGCGGUAAUACGUACUCCACUAGUGGUGUCCUCUUAUAUUGGGCCUAAAACGUUUGUAGCAGGUCGUAUAAGUCUCUGGUGAAAUCCAAGGGCUCAACUUUUGGAAUUGCUGGAGAUACUGUAUGGCUAGAGGCAAAGAGAAUCACAGGGUAUUCUCGGAGUAACGGUGAAAUGUUAUGAUCCCGAGAGGACCUCCAGUAGCGAAGGCGCUGUGAUAGAAUUGUCCUGACUGUGAGAAACGAAAGCUGGGGGAGCGACCCGGAUUAGAUACCCGGUUAGUCCCAGCCGUAAACGAUGUAGACUAGGUGUCGCAACGCCUACAGGGUUUUGCGGUGCCGACGCGAAGGCAUUAAGUCUACUGCCUGG